Molecule: unclassified non-coding RNA, 330 nt
Filed under: soil metagenome
Description: partial contains 5.8S ribosomal RNA, internal transcribed spacer 2, and large subunit ribosomal RNA
Rfam family: 5.8S ribosomal RNA (bases 1-121)
Source: RNAcentral
GAUGAAGAACGCAGCGAAAUGCGAUAAGUAAUGCGAAUUGCAGAAUUUCCGUGAAUCAUCGAAUCUUUGAACGCACAUUGCGCCCCCUGGUAUUCCGGGGGGCAUGCCUGUUCGAGCGUCAUUACAACCCUCAAGCUCUGCUUGGUAUUGGGCCCCGCCAGUUCUGGCGGGCCCUAAAGUCAGUGGCGGUGCCUUCCGGCUCCGAGCGUAGUAAUUCUUCUCGCUCUGGAGACCCGGUUGUGUGCUUGCCAACAACCCCCAAUUUUUUAAGGUUGACCUCGGAUCAGGUAGGGAUACCCGCUGAACUUAAGCAUAUCAAUAAGCGGAGGA